RNAcentral lists this microRNA (18 nucleotides) under Corchorus capsularis. RNAcentral's name for it is "sRNA CCACVL1_09652". The record is from RNAcentral. Lineage: Eukaryota; Viridiplantae; Streptophyta; Magnoliopsida; Malvales; Malvaceae.
UGACGUAAAACUUGUAUG